This is a non-coding RNA of Picea glauca (white spruce), 121 nucleotides long. The record is from Rfam. Lineage: Eukaryota; Viridiplantae; Streptophyta; Pinopsida; Pinales; Pinaceae.
ACAUGCCUACAACAUAGUGUUAAUACAUCUGAUCUUAUUAGAAAUAUGUUGUUAAGCGUGCUCAAGCUAGAGUAGUACAGGGAUGGGUGACCGCCUAAGAAGUCCUUAUGUUUUACAUGCC